UCCCAAAAAUAAACGUACUCAGUUCGGAUUGUAGUCUGCAACUCGACUACAUGAAGCUGGAAUCGCUAGUAAUCGCGAAUCAGAAUGUCGCGGUGAAUACGUUCCCGGGUCUUGUACACACCGCCCGUCACACCAUGGGAGUCAGUAACGCCCGAAGUCAGUGACCCAAUCAUAACCGGAGGGAGCUGCCGAAGGUGGGACCGAUAACUGGGGUGAAGUCGUAACAAGGUACC
RNAcentral lists this ribosomal RNA (233 nucleotides) under uncultured bacterium. RNAcentral's name for it is "partial 16S ribosomal RNA". It matches the Rfam family "Bacterial small subunit ribosomal RNA", at positions 1272 to 1500 of the family's 1533-position model. The record is from RNAcentral.